RNAcentral lists this transfer RNA (73 nucleotides) under Schistocerca americana (American grasshopper). Its description in RNAcentral is "tRNA-Val". It matches the Rfam family "tRNA". Rfam says of the family: Transfer RNA (tRNA) molecules are approximately 80 nucleotides in length. Their secondary structure includes four short double-helical elements and three loops (D, anti-codon, and T loops). Lineage: Eukaryota; Metazoa; Arthropoda; Insecta; Orthoptera; Acrididae. The record is from RNAcentral.
GUUUCCGUGGUGUAGCGGUUACCACGUCUGCUUUACACGCAGAAGGUUCCCGGUUCGAUCCCGGGCGGGAUCA